CGGGGCAAGAAGACAGGUGGUGCAUGGUUGUCGUCAGCUCGUGUCGUGAGAUGUUGGGUUAAGUCCCGCAACGAGCGCAACCCUUAUAACUAGUUGCCAGCAUUCAGAUGGGGACUCUAGUUAGACUGCCGGUGACAAACCGGAGGAAGGUGGGGAUGACGUCAAAUCAUCAUGCCCCUUAUGACCUGGGCUACACACGUGCUACAAUGGAUGGUACAACGAGUCGCUAACUCGCAAGAGCAUGCCAAUCUCUAAAAGCCAUUCUCAGUUCGGAUUGUAGUCUGCAACUCGACUACAUGAAGCCGGAAUCGCUAGUAAUCGCGGAUCAGCACGCCGCGGUGAAUACGUUCCCGGGUCUUGUACACACCGCCCGUCACACCACGAGAGUUUGUAACACCCGAAGCCGGUGGCCUAACCAAUAGGAGGGAGCCGUCGAAGGUGGGAUGGAUGAUUGGGGUGAAGUCGUAACAAGGUAGCCGUAUCGGAAGGUGCGGCUGGAUCACCUCCUUU
Molecule: ribosomal RNA, 510 nt
Filed under: Globicatella sulfidifaciens
Lineage: Bacteria; Bacillati; Bacillota; Bacilli; Lactobacillales; Aerococcaceae
Description: bacterial SSU rRNA
Rfam family: Bacterial small subunit ribosomal RNA
Source: RNAcentral